UACAGAGGUCCCAAGCGUUGUUCGGAUUCACUGGGCGUAAAGGUGCGUAGGUGGCUGGGAAAGUUUGAUGUGAAAGCUCAGGGCUUAACCCUGAAAUGGCAUUGAAUACUGCCUGGCUGGAGGUUUGGAGGGGGGACUGGAAUUCCUGGUGUAGCGGUGAAAUGCGCAGAUAUCAGGAGGAACACCGGUGGCGAAGGCGGGUCUCUGGGCCGAUACUGACGCUGAGGAGCGAAAGCGUGGGGAGCGAACAGG
RNAcentral lists this ribosomal RNA (252 nucleotides) under uncultured bacterium. RNAcentral describes it as "partial 16S ribosomal RNA". It matches the Rfam family "Bacterial small subunit ribosomal RNA", at positions 524 to 776 of the family's 1533-position model. The record is from RNAcentral.